AGAGUUUGAUCAUGGCUCAGAACGAACGUUGGCGGCGUGGAUUAGGCAUGCAAGUCGAACGACGGCCGUGGGGCAACCUGCGGUACGGAGUGGCGAAAGGGGCAGUAAGGCGUGGGUAACCUACCCUGGGGACGGGGAUAGCCAUCCUAACGGAUGGGUAAUACCUGGCGACGUGACGACGGCACCUGUUGUUGUCACCAAAGGAAUUUCGCCCUGGGAGGGGCCCACGUAGUAUUAGCUAGUUGGUGAGGUAACGGCUCACCAAGGCCAAGAUGCUUAGCAGGUGUGAGAGCACGACCUGCGCCACUGGCACUGAGACACUGGCCAGACUCCUACGGGAGGCUGCAGUCGAGGAUCUUCGGCAAUGGGCGCAAGCCUGACCGAGCGACGCCGCGUGUGCGAUGAAGGCCUUCGGGUUGUAAAGCACUGUCGAGGGGAAGGAAGCCGCAAGGUUGACCGACCUCUGGAGGAAGCACGGGCUAAGUUCGUGCCAGCAGCCGCGGUAAGACGAACCGUGCGAACGUUGUUCGGAAUCACUGGGCUUAAAGGGCGCGUAGGCGGGUCAUCAAGUCCGUGGUGAAAGCCCUCAGCUUAACUGGGGAAGUGCCGCGGAUACUGGUGGCCUCGAGGGAGGUAGGGGCAUGUGGAACUUCCGGUGGAGCGGUGAAAUGCGUAGAUAUCGGAAGGAACGCCGGUGGCGAAAGCGACGUGCUGGACCUCUUCUGACGCUGAGGCGCGAAAGCCAGGGGAGCAAACGGGAUUAGAUACCCUAGUAGUCC
This 779-nucleotide ribosomal RNA is filed under the name uncultured bacterium. RNAcentral describes it as "bacterial SSU rRNA". It matches the Rfam family "Bacterial small subunit ribosomal RNA", at positions 8 to 796 of the family's 1533-position model. The record is from RNAcentral.